GCUCGAAUGUUGGAAUUGGUAGACAAGCAUGUUUCAGGAGCAUGUGUCUUCACGGACAUGCGGGUUCGAGUCCCGCUUCGAGCA
RNAcentral lists this transfer RNA (84 nucleotides) under Bacteroidales bacterium. Its description in RNAcentral is "tRNA-Leu". It matches the Rfam family "tRNA". Rfam says of the family: Transfer RNA (tRNA) molecules are approximately 80 nucleotides in length. Their secondary structure includes four short double-helical elements and three loops (D, anti-codon, and T loops). The record is from RNAcentral. Lineage: Bacteria; Pseudomonadati; Bacteroidota; Bacteroidia; Bacteroidales. RNAcentral also lists the same sequence under 1 other name.